This 199-nucleotide long non-coding RNA is filed under the name Lathyrus oleraceus (garden pea). Its description in RNAcentral is "Pisum sativum (pea) long non-coding RNA (PSAT_LNC033459)". Lineage: Eukaryota; Viridiplantae; Streptophyta; Magnoliopsida; Fabales; Fabaceae. The record is from RNAcentral.
AUGAAAUAAAAUACAAAGUUUGAUUAAAGGUGGUAAACAACCAUUUUCAACACAAAAAAAUAGAACAAAAAAUUAACAAAGUUUAAGCUAAAAUCAUUAUCCAAAAAAUGUUGAAAAAGGGUAGGUUGAAAUGGUGUUAAGCUUGGAUAUAAAGCAAUGGGUUUGGGAUGAAAGUGUUUAUGGUGGAAGUUUAGUGAAG